Daphnia pulex (common water flea) is the source of this 1097-nucleotide long non-coding RNA. RefSeq lists it as uncharacterized. The record is from RefSeq and is a predicted model, not a curated record. Lineage: Eukaryota; Metazoa; Arthropoda; Branchiopoda; Diplostraca; Daphniidae. The transcript is spliced from 5 exons.
UUAGUGCAUGAAUUACAGACUGGUAGUGUACUUCAUGGUUACUGUUAUGUCUUUUACGUGUCGAUGCAGUACUUAAAGGGAUCUUUUAAGUAUUUCAAAGUGUUUUUUAAGUAGCACAAUGUUGUAAAGUACUAAGCGUUGACAAUCUUCAUCGGUCGUUGGCUUGUAGAUUCCAUGAAAGUCAUGCAUAUUCAAAGUUGGCUCAGUUAAAGUCAUGAUCGUCUGAACUAUGGAAAAUAUUCUGUCUAGGGAAUGACACCUUAAAAGAAAGAACUGCGGUUGCAAUCUCCAACAAUAUUGCACGAAUUUUGAUGCUGAAAGACUUGGCAACCAUGCUGUCCACCACGCCGAGAAGCUGAGUAACAUUCUGCUUGUACAAUGGCACCUCUUAAUAAAAGGAACUUGAGCCAUCCAAUCUAGGGCUUCCAUCCAAUCGUGCAGGCUGCAUGGAAGUCACAUUUACCUUUGCUGUGAACAUCAUGAACACAUACACUAUUUGAAGGUUCAUGUUUAUGUAACAGUGGUGUUGUUGCAGCCUUUGGUGGUGAAAGAUAUCUGCAUCAAGUUGCUGUUCCUGUGGUGUGUUGUUGCAGCCUAUGGUGGUUAAAGAUAUCUGCAUCGAGUUGCUGUUCCUUGUGCAUCCAAGGUGCUGGUUUUGUGCUACAGAAGUUGCAUUCAGUAUUGUGUUUAAUUGCUAUUCGUGUCUAUGCAGUUUACCUUUUACAUGUUGAUAAGAAACAAAAAAAGUAAUACUGGGAGGAUUAUGUCAAACAAAUAAUAAACAUGUCAGGGAUGGGGAAAUGAGGAGGAAGUUGGGGUGGGGUAUUUGGUUAUGAUUUACUAAAAGAAGUGAGGUAUAUUUGUAAUGAAUAUGCAGUACUUUGUGAUAAAAACUGUUGUUAACCUAUACCUUCCUGUCAACCUAUACCUCCCCUACUUCCACUUACACAUCUAUUCCUAAAACCCCAUAAGCACCAACAUCAAAUCCCACAAAUCCACUCACAUCCAUUCCUAAAACCCCACAAUCACCAAACACCCAACAUUCACACAAUUUUUGUAUAUGUAUAAUUAAAUUUUAAUAAAUAAAAUGCAUUGUA